GUUAGUGUGGCAGAGCAUGGUUAAUGCAAAAGGCCUAAGCCCUUUCUACUGGGGUUCAAAUCCCCCCUCUAACU
RNAcentral lists this transfer RNA (74 nucleotides) under Muraenolepis orangiensis (Patagonian moray cod). It matches the Rfam family "tRNA". Rfam says of the family: Transfer RNA (tRNA) molecules are approximately 80 nucleotides in length. Their secondary structure includes four short double-helical elements and three loops (D, anti-codon, and T loops). Further hydrogen bonds mediate the characteristic L-shaped molecular structure. tRNAs have two regions of fundamental functional importance: the anti-codon, which is responsible for specific mRNA codon recognition, and the 3' end, to which the tRNAs corresponding amino acid is attached (by aminoacyl-tRNA synthetases). tRNAs cope with the degeneracy of the genetic code in two manners: having more than one tRNA (with a specific anti-codon) for a particular amino acid; and 'wobble' base-pairing, i.e. permitting non-standard base-pairing at the 3rd anti-codon position. The record is from Rfam by way of RNAcentral. Lineage: Eukaryota; Metazoa; Chordata; Actinopteri; Gadiformes; Muraenolepididae.